This 598-nucleotide ribosomal RNA is filed under the name Pseudoalteromonas phenolica O-BC30. RNAcentral's name for it is "partial 23S ribosomal RNA". It matches the Rfam family "Bacterial large subunit ribosomal RNA", at positions 975 to 1579 of the family's 2925-position model. Lineage: Bacteria; Pseudomonadati; Pseudomonadota; Gammaproteobacteria; Alteromonadales; Pseudoalteromonadaceae. The record is from RNAcentral.
AUCCGGGAGACACACGGUGGGUGCUAACGUCCAUCGUGGAGAGGGAAACAACCCAGACCGUCAGCUAAGGUCCCAAAGUGUAUGUUAAGUGGGAAACGAUGUGGGAAGGCUAAAACAGCUAGGAGGUUGGCUUAGAAGCAGCCAUCCUUUAAAGAAAGCGUAAUAGCUCACUAGUCGAGUCGGCCUGCGCGGAAGAUGUAACGGGGCUAAACAUACCACCGAAGCUACGGCUGCAUACUUUGUAUGCGGGGUAGGGGAGCGUCUGUAAGCGGCUGAAGCUCAAUUGUAAAGUUGGGUGGACGUAUCAGAAGUGCGAAUGCUGACAUGAGUAACGAUAAUGCGGGUGAAAAACCCGCACGCCGGAAGACCAAGGGUUCCUAUCCCAUGUUAAUCAGGGUAGGGUAAGUCGACCCCUAAGGCGAGGCUGAAGAGCGUAGUCGAUGGGAAACGGGUUAAUAUUCCCGUACUUGGAAUAAUUGCGAUGGGGGGACGGAGCAGGCUAAUCAAGCAUGGCGAUGGUUGUCCAUGUGAAAGGCUGUAGGCUGGUGACUUAGGAAAAUCCGGGUCGCUAAGGCUGAGAGUCGAGACGAGCUACCAC